This 536-nucleotide ribosomal RNA is filed under the name uncultured bacterium. RNAcentral's name for it is "bacterial SSU rRNA". It matches the Rfam family "Archaeal small subunit ribosomal RNA", at positions 725 to 1257 of the family's 1478-position model. The record is from RNAcentral.
AGUGAAUAGAUACCCGGGUAGUCCUAGCCGUAAACGAUACUCGCUAGGUGUCGGCCACGGUGCGACCGUUGUCGGUGCCGUAGGGAAAGCCGUGAAGCGAGCCACCUGGGGAGUACGGCCGCAAGGCUGAAACUUAAAGGAAUUGGCGGGGGAGCACCACAACGGGUGGAGCUUGCGGUUUAAUUGGAUUCAACGCCGGAAAUCUUACCGGGACCGACAGCAACAUGAAGGCCAGGCUGAAGACUUUGCCGGAUUAGCUGAGAGGUGGUGCAUGGCCGUCGUCAGUUCGUACUGUGAAAGCAUCCUGUUAAGUCAGGCAACGAGCGAGACCCACGCCCACAGUUGCCAGCGUACUCUCCGGAGUGACGGGUACACUGUGGGGACCGCCGCUGCUAAAGCGGAGGAAGGAAUGGGCAACGGUAGGUCAGUAUGCCCCGAAUAUCCCGGGCUACACGCGAGCUACAAUGGUUGGUACAAUGGGUAUCUACCCCGAAAGGGGACGGAAAUCUCCUAAAGCCAAUCUUAGUUCGGAUUGA